AAAUUGAAGAGUUUGAUCAUGGCUCAGAUUGAACGCUGGCGGCAGGCCUAACACAUGCAAGUCGAACGGUAACAGAAAGCAGCUUGCUGCUUUGCUGACGAGUGGCGGACGGGUGAGUAAUGUCUGGGAAACUGCCUGAUGGGGGGGGAUAACUACUGGAAACGGUGGCUAAUACCGCAUAACGUCGCAAGACCAAAGAGGGGGACCUUCGGGCCUCUUGCCAUCAGAUGUGCCCAGAUGGGAUUAGCU
This 249-nucleotide ribosomal RNA is filed under the name Salmonella enterica subsp. diarizonae. Its description in RNAcentral is "partial 16S ribosomal RNA". It matches the Rfam family "Bacterial small subunit ribosomal RNA", at positions 1 to 246 of the family's 1533-position model. Lineage: Bacteria; Pseudomonadati; Pseudomonadota; Gammaproteobacteria; Enterobacterales; Enterobacteriaceae. The record is from RNAcentral.